UUUCUCUUCAGCCCUAAUUCCCACUCUUUUUCACUUUUAAGCCACCAUUUCCCCCCUUUUCAUUGUGCUUGAAAAUUCGUUGCUUUCUCUUCCAUUUUUUCACUUUAUGUUGUUCUAAUCGCAUAUGGUUCGAUUGCUUGUCCUGUGGUUGCUUCUACUGUUGUACGUUUGUGACAGGUUGCAGCAUUGAAGCAGCUACCUAGGUCCAGGACCUGAUCAAUUCUUGUACUGGAGAUAUAAGACUAAUAAAAAUCUCUCAUCACUUGCACUAACAGUUGCAGAAGACCCCAAUAGAAAGUGCAAGCAAAUGUAGUAAAGAGCAACUAAUUCUUUCAGUUCCGCAAGAUUAUGGGGCUCUAAAACAGAGAUGGUUCAACGAUUGAAAGGUUUCUAGAUGCGCAUUGGUAUUUGCACGAUCAAGAGGAAAAAACGGGAAAGACCUUUAAUGGAGAAGCUAUUUGAUAG
Molecule: non-coding RNA, 465 nt
Organism: Nicotiana tabacum (common tobacco)
Lineage: Eukaryota; Viridiplantae; Streptophyta; Magnoliopsida; Solanales; Solanaceae
Source: RefSeq, a predicted model, not a curated record